GUAGACAUAGUUUAAUUAAAACACUAGAUUGUGAUUCUAGAAACAGAGGUUAAACCCCCUCUUGUCAACC
RNAcentral lists this transfer RNA (70 nucleotides) under Xenopus calcaratus (Biafran clawed frog). Its description in RNAcentral is "tRNA-His". It matches the Rfam family "tRNA". From Rfam's summary of the family: Transfer RNA (tRNA) molecules are approximately 80 nucleotides in length. Their secondary structure includes four short double-helical elements and three loops (D, anti-codon, and T loops). Further hydrogen bonds mediate the characteristic L-shaped molecular structure. tRNAs have two regions of fundamental functional importance: the anti-codon, which is responsible for specific mRNA codon recognition, and the 3' end, to which the tRNAs corresponding amino acid is attached (by aminoacyl-tRNA synthetases). tRNAs cope with the degeneracy of the genetic code in two manners: having more than one tRNA (with a specific anti-codon) for a particular amino acid; and 'wobble' base-pairing, i.e. permitting non-standard base-pairing at the 3rd anti-codon position. Lineage: Eukaryota; Metazoa; Chordata; Amphibia; Anura; Pipidae. The record is from RNAcentral.